Molecule: RNA transcript, 1869 nt
Organism: Dendrobium catenatum
Lineage: Eukaryota; Viridiplantae; Streptophyta; Magnoliopsida; Asparagales; Orchidaceae
Gene name: alanine--glyoxylate aminotransferase 2 homolog 1, mitochondrial
Exons: 10
Source: RefSeq, a predicted model, not a curated record
GCUCAGCAACGCAUCACUGUGUUUUGGCCGCUCCACAGAAAACAUCAAAUGCUUGUGUCUUUCUAUGCGUCGUUCCGUAUAGGAUCAUUUUCCGGCGGCUAUAUAUGCUGACGUCUGGCGCCAAAACAUUCUGUUUCAUUCAGCCCUAGAUCACUCUCACUCAGGCCGCGACGAUGUUCUCGCAGAGAAAUCUAUGGCGGAAGAGCUUAGGAUCCAAACCCGUGCUCACUCAAAUCCUCCGGCGAACCCUCUUCGCCUCAACGCCUUCGCCGUCGCCGUCCGAGCGGCCGCCGGUGCUCCCGCCCUUUGACCACCAACCAACUCCCUACAAUAAGAUGAUGGCCGACGAGAUCCUCAAAAAGCGGAAAGAGUUUCUUGGCCCCUCCCUUUUCUACUAUUACCAAAAGCCACUAAAUAUUGUGGAAGGGAAGAUGCAGUAUCUUUAUGAUGAGAGUGGGAAGCGUUAUCUUGAUGCAUUUGCUGGAAUCGUGACUGUUUCUUGUGGGCAUUGCCAUCCUGAUAUAGUUAAUGCGGUGGUGGAACAAACUAAGCUCCUCCAGCAUACUACCACAAUUUAUCUUCACCAUGCCAUUGUCGAGUUUGCCGAAGCAUUGGCAUCGAAAAUGCCAGGAAACCUAAAGGUUGUUUAUUUUGUGAAUUCCGGGACUGAAGCUAAUGAGUUAGCAAUGAUGAUGGCUCGGUUGUACACUGGAAAUCUUAACAUGAUAGCUCUGAGAAAUGCAUAUCAUGGUGGCAGCGCUGGAACGCUUGGGCUGACUGCUUUGCAUACUUGGAAAUACCCAAUCCCUCAGGGCGAAGUUCAUCAUGUUAUGAAUCCCAAUCCAUAUCGAGGGGCAUUUGGCUCCGAUGCUUCUCGUUAUGCUGACGAAGUUAAAGAUCAUAUUGCUUAUGCUACUCCAGGAAGUGUUGCAGGAUUUAUUGCGGAAACAUUUCAGGGAGUUGGAGGUGCAGCAGAAUUAGCUCCUGGAUACCUGAAAUUAGUAUAUGAUAUUGUGCAUCAAGCUGGUGGUGUCUGCAUAGCUGAUGAGGUUCAAAGUGGCUUUGGUCGCACUGGAAGUCAUUAUUGGGGCUUUCAAACACAAGGUGUCAUUCCCGAUAUUGUCACAAUGGCAAAGGGCAUUGGUAAUGGCUUACCAUUGGGAGCAGUAGUCACGACUCCUGAGAUAGCUCAAGUGAUGUCUCAAAGGAUACAAUUCAAUACAUUUGGUGGGAAUCCUGUGUGUUCUGCUGGUGGACAUGCAGUGCUUAAAGUUCUUGACAAGGAGAAUCGUCAAACGCAUUGUGCAGAUGUCGGGUCUCACUUAGUUAGACGAUUGAAAGAACUUCAAAAUAAGCAUGAAAUCAUUGGAGAUGUCAGAGGCAGGGGACUAAUGCUUGGUGUGGAACUCGUCACUGAUAGAAAAGACAAAACUCCAGCCAAAGCAGAGACUUUGAUAUUAUUUGAGAAGCUUAAAGAUCUUGGAGUCCUACUUGGAAAAGGAGGUCUUCAUGGGAAUGUAUUCCGAAUAAAACCACCAAUGUGCUUCAGCAAAGAGGAUGCAGAUUUCCUGGUGGAUGCAUUGGACUAUGCCAUCUCCACUAUUUGAGUUAUGUUUCUUGAAUUGGAAAUAAUGGUGCUUCAGUUACUGGCUAAGGAGUUUUGCGAUCAGACAUACUAUUUCACCGAGAGAAACGAAUAUAGGAUAACUAAUCUGGACAUUGGGCCCCUCUCGAGUUUCAAAUUUUAGCAGUAACGAAGGAUUGAGGGCUUCUGUGUUCUCUCCAGCAAAUGCCAUCUUUUGUGUUAGUAAACUCUUCGAUGUAAGAAAAGAUCUUUGCUUAUAUAUUCUUCCUUCAUUUCCUCCAGUU